RNAcentral lists this long non-coding RNA (2997 nucleotides) under Sus scrofa (pig). RNAcentral's name for it is "lncRNA (ENSSSCG00025022661.1)". The record is from RNAcentral. Lineage: Eukaryota; Metazoa; Chordata; Mammalia; Artiodactyla; Suidae.
UCCUCCUUCUCUCACCGGUGGCAGCAGCCGGAACAGGCCGGUCCGCGGGCCUCGAGGUGUCCUCUCCUUCCACGGCUGGAGAAAGCUCAGAUUGAGGUGAGGAGAAUCAAGGCAUACCUCAGAAAUUUUGUGGGCUCAGUAACAGACCACUGCAGUAAAGCGAGUCACACAUUUUCCAGCUUCCCAGAAGCUGUGAAGAAUACCUUCAAGAAAACAAAGACAUUAGCCAAGAAAGAGGAAAGCAUGAUACCUAGAAGCAAAAGGAACAGAGAAGUCAACAUGAAAAGAAGUGAAGGGAAAAUCAGCAUGAGAGACACACUCAAAGCCCAGAAAGAGCCAAUCCAUACUGGGAAUGGGGAAAAAAAGGCAUAGGGGAGUGCCUCUAGAGGAGAAAAAAAAGUGGAAUAAAUGGAUUACUUGAUAUGGAUGAGCAUUUUAAAAAUGACUGACAGAUGUUUACUUGUUGGGUCUGCUUGAACUGUAGUGGAUAAAAAAAGGACAAACAAAUUGAGCAAACAUAAAACAAUAUAAGUAACUGAAAUUAACAUUAUUUGAAAUAAAACAAAAAAUAGCAUUUGCAGUAACAGCUAAUAUUUAUGUUCAAAAGAAAAAUUGUAACUAAAAUUCCCUUUACUUAAAAUUUGCUAGAAGAUUGUAAUGGACAUUUAUUCGUCUUUGGUCAUCCUAGGCCCUUGACACACUCUUUCUAUUUAGGAGGAAUUGCCCAUUCUACCAAUUUCUACCUUCCCAAGAAAAAAGACAAAACUUUCCUUCUUUCUUAGCUUACCUUGUAGCCAGGGAGCAGGUAUAUGACCUAAGCUCACCAAUCAGAUACACCCAUAGGAACAUAGAUUGGCAUAGAUGUGACAGAGUAGAUGCCUUGCAGAACUCAGCUACCUAGGUGGCAAGAGACCUCCACUUCUGGAUGCAGUGGUGGUAGUGGCUCUAGCGAUGCAGCAAUGAGAAUUCUGCUGCCUGUGCCCAGUAGCCACAGUAUUCACAUUUUCACAGAACAGUUCUAGACUGUUAGUUGUUGUCCUUGGCAGUGCCCACAAUAUUCCUCAAUACAUUAAUUUUCCAUGAAAUUUCAAGAGUGGACGUCUGUCAUUUAAAACAAAACCCAAAUGGAUAACAAGAAUUCAGCAUUUACUGUUGAUAUUUCACAUGCAUUUUUUACUAGGUUAAAAUCCCCUAAACCAAGAUGGUAUAAUAUGAGAACUAUGAUAAUACCUGACAAUGGCAAAGACUUGUAGAAUCUUAAAAAUUGUCCUUCUGAUCAGCCACUGGGGAGGGGAAUCCAGAACUUAUAAUUGUCUAUGCUAGUCAGCUAAAGCCCUAACUGUAAAAACACAGAAUUUUUAACAUUGUUAAGUGCAACAUGUAACUAAGAGAAUGGAAGUGUGUGUGUGUGUGUGUGUGUGUGUGUGGGUGUGGGUGUGUGUGUGCGCGCGCACGCGCGUGCAUGCACCUGCUUUCUGAACUGGCAGUGAGAUUGAAGAUUCUUGGGUGACUUUUAAAGAAGUUAUAAGCCUGUGACACAAGGAACUUAAAAAAAAAAUGAUGGCAGAUUCUUGAUUAUAGCAGUGCCACUGAGCAACCCUAUAACUUAAUAUUUUAGGUGAAAAGUAACAUUUAGACAGGUUAUUUUUCCAGCACUGGAUUUCAAGGUCAAAUAUAUUUCUUCUCGUUGUUUUGGAAGUGCCUACAUUGAAAACAAAAUGAGAAAAGACACGUAAAUGUAUUUUUUAUGAUGGAAUUCUGGAUCUUAAAAAAGUAGAUGUUGAAGCAAUUUGAAGUUGUUACUACAUCAGUGACAAAACCUAGUUAUUUUCCAUGCUGUAAACGCUCCAUACAGAAACAGAAUAAUUACCUGGGACAGUGUUAUAAAAGGAAUGACCCAGAUGCACUUUGGAUUUUGCAGUCUCCUUGUGAAUUCUGCUCAGCUGUCUAUGUAAAGGAUUACAACAUUGUGUACUUAAUCAUCAGCAGAUGUAAGCUUCCAGAAGAAAAACUGUCCCAUAGAUUUUAGCACACUCUGACAUGAAGGGAAGGUUAAUUCCCAGAACUUAACUGUAUUAACAUCCCAGAUAGGGUCAAGGAAUAGAGUGGUCAAUGGUUAGUGUCCUAGUACUAUAUAUGUUAUUCUGAGAGAAUCAAUUCACAAACAAGGACUGAAUUCCAGUUUAUAAUAGCGAUGACACCUUACAUUCGGAUAGUACUUCAAUAAACUUUCAUACAAAAUAUUUUAACUGAUACAAUGCAAAGGCAAUAUAGCAGAAAUGAAAUGUACAAGUAGCAGAGAAGGGACAUGACAGAAUUCAUUUGCUUUUGACUUUGCAUUGCUUUUGGCAAUUCUGCAUGGCAUCAUUUUAAGGCGACCCCUUAUUGUUAUCCUAAGCAGUUGUUUCCUUUGGAUUAUCUUUUAUGUCUUAGUCCUUUUAAUUCAACCCAGUUCAUUCCAUGGAUAAUGACUGCUCUCAGCUCUCAACUUUCCAUCCUCAGAAAUAAUACAAAUCACUUCCUUUUUGCUCAUUCUCUUCCAAUGAUCCAUCCUUGCACACUACCUAGUUCUUCAGUCUACUCUGCUCCCACCCAUGCCCUGUUUUGUUCUAAGUUUCUACUCCCAUUAUUUACAUCCCUAUUUUGUCAUUAUAGCCAUUUCCCCCCUUUAUUACACAUUAAAAUUGUGAUUUUAUAUCCAUUUUCUUAUUUGCUUGUUUCCCCCACUGCACUUUUAUAAGCUCCAUAACAGUAGUCGGCCAGUUAAUUUCUUUCAUUACUGUAGGUGUAUUUAUCACCAGAGUGUCUAACAUACAGAAGUAAGAUAAGUGUAACUUUCAUUGUAAAUGAAUAACUAAAUUUAUGGUAGCAGUUAACCACUUGUAAAGAAAAAAUUAAAUUUAAAUCUUAACUCAUAUCUUAAAAAAAUACAAAUGAAUUAAAGAUUUUGAAAUUAAAAAAGGAAAUUAGAAAAUUUUCCAAGUUAGAUAUUAAUAA